UAAGAGAUUCAAGUAGCCGAUUAGAGAAUGGCUUGGCUUGGAAGCCGAUGAAGGACGUGGCAAGCUGCGAUAAGCGUGGGGUACCUGCAAGCAGGGUUUGAUCCCACGAUCUCCGAAUUGUUCCCCAAAGGAACGGGCACCCCGGGAAUCGAAGCAUCCUAGUACCGGGAGGAAAAGACAUCGAACGAGAUGCGGGGAGUAGGGUCGACCGAAAUCCGCAGAGGGCAAACCGAAUCCGUGGGGGUAACCUCAUGGAGAUGUGGGGUUUGGACUGGGCGCACAAGCUAGUUGGCGAGGAUGAGUCGGCUGGAAAGCCGUACCAGAGAGGGUGAUAGUCCCGUGUCUGUAGCCAAAUAGGUUGAUUUCCUAGUAUCCAGAGUAGGGCGCAUCGGAUAUUGCGUCUGAAUAUUCCGGUCAUUCCCCGGAAACCCUAAAUACAUUCCAAGACCGAUAGCGAACAAGUACCGUGAGGGAAAGCUGAAAGAGUACCCUUAGAAGGGGGUGCAAAGCGCCUGAAACUAAUCGGUGACGGAGAGAUGCGGCGUGAAAGAAACGAUGGUCCCUGAAGGAAACGAAGGGGCUUGAUCAGCGUCGCAUCGUACGUCCUGAAGCACGAGCGAGGGAGUUUGUGGACGUGGCGAGGCUAAGUUCUCCAAGAACGAAGCCGCAGGGAAACCGAGCGCGCGCAAUUCGCAAGAAUGAGGCGCGGUGUGUUAAACUCGCACCAGUCACGGCCACCAGACCCGAAGCCUGAUGAUCCAUCCCUGGGGAGAUUGAAGCCUGGCUACAACCGGGUGGAGGAUCGAAACCAGUUCUAGUCCAACUGUUUGGGUCACCUGGGGAUAGGAGUAAAAUGUCAUUCGAAUCAGGUGAUAGCGGGCUCCUUCUGAAACGGCCCUUAGGCCGGCCCGCGCGGAGAGGGAAUGCGGUGUAGAGAUACUGAUUAGGAAGUACUGGGGGGAAACCCUCAGCUUCUUUGUCAAACUCCGAAUUUGCAUUCCUCGUAGAAGCGCGGAGUGGGGGGACGCGGGUAAGCUGCGUUUCCGAAAGGGAAAGAACCCGGUGUGUGGUUAAGGCCCAUAAAUGAUUGCUAAGUGUGAAUGAACUGCGUUGGUUUCCAUAGACAGUGGAGAGGUAGGCUUAGAAGCAGCCAUCCUUUAAAGAAAGCGUAACAGCUCAUCCAUCUAGGACGCCAGCCGGGAAGAUACGCUGGGCUCAAGUGAUCUGCCGAUACCACAUGACACACGUUGAACGUGUGAUUCUGUAAGAAGGUGUACGGGUGGCGCCGAAGGGGGGUCGUAAGAUCCUCUGGAGCUGCCUGUAACAUGGAUCCUCGCGCUAGUAAUAACAUAGAAGAGUGAGAAUCUCUUCCGCCGAAAGGGCAAGGGUUCCUUAGCGCUUGUCAUAAGCUAAGGGUUAGUCGGUCCUAAGCGGACCCUCAAUAAGGGUAACCGCGAAAGGGAAACAGGUUCAUAUUCCUGUACGACGCGCAUACGUUUUCGGCAACGAUAGGCAUAGAUGGAACGUCAGCGGCUAUGUGAUGCCGGCUUGUCUGCCGGUUCAAGGCCUACAGACCAUUGGAGAAUCAUCAUGAUGAGAAAAUGGUUAAAGGGCUGGAGCAGCAAUGUAUCGCAAAGGCCGGUGGCCCGUGAAAACCGUCUGUGCAAGGAUUGUGCGUCCCCGUACCGAGAACCGAGAAAGGUGCCCCUGGCUGAGAAGGCCUAGGCGUUCCGGGACAAACUCUCGUAAGGGAAUUCGGCAAUCUAGCCCCGUAUCUUCGGUAUAAGGGGUGCCUCUGCGUGCAAAACGUGGAGGUUGCAAUAACAAGAGGAGUCCGACUGUUUAUCAAAAACAUAGGUGACUGCAAGGCCGCGAGGCUUAGUAUAGUCACCGACUUCUGCUCACUGCAAGUACCUGAACCCCGGUUCCAACCGGUCUAAAGGCUUGUGAAGAGCGGGCCUAACUCUGAGGCUCUCACGGUAGCGUAAUACCUUGCCGGUUUAUUGCCGGCUUGCACCAAGGAAGUAACGAGAUUCCUGCUGUCCCUACGAGGGGCCCGAUGAACUCACUACGCGGUGAAUAUGCCGCGGAACUCCAACGGGAAGAGAAGACCCCACGGCAGUUUACCACACCCAAUCGUUGGUAGGAACGUGCUGAUGUACAGUGUAGAUGGGAGCGACGAUGCAGUGACGCCAGUUGCUGCGGAGCGCCAAUGUAACACCAUCCUUCAGUACUUUCCUAACUUACCUCCCCAAAAGGGAGGGACACCGGUUGGCUUGGUGGUUUGACUGGGGCGGUACGCCCCUGAAACGAUAUCAGGGGCGCCCAAAGGUCUGCUCAGGCGAGUCAGAAAUUCGCCGUAGAGUGCAAAAGCAAAAGCAGGCUUGACAGUGUUCUACACAUCAAGGGACGCUGAUGGGAAACCAGGGUUUAGCGAGCGCUAGUGUGACCAGUAAUGGGUCCCUAGUCUAACAGUGAACCGAUCCUGGGGGUAACUGAGUGGUUGCGGGAGAGAGUCCAUAUCGACCCCGCAGUUUGCGACCUCGCCGUCGUCUCAAGUCAUCCUGGCUGGGCAUAACCAGCCAAGGGUGGAGGGGUUUACUCAUUAAAGACUUUCGUUAGUUGGGUUAAGAACGGUGCGAGCCAGUUUGGUUACUAUCUGUUGGAGUUGUUGUUGGUUUGAGGGAAAGCUUCGCUGAGUACGAGAGGAACGGCGAGGCGUCGCCACUGGUGUACCAGUUGUCCGACAGGGCACUGCUGGGUAGCUACGCGGUAGACGAUAAACCCUGAACGCAUCUAAGGGUGAAGCGUCCCCUGAAAAGAAACCAACAUUUCCGAUCUGCUGGGAGAUAAACCAGUGUCACGGAACAAGCGUGCCGGUAGAAGACCGGUUUGAUAGGCGCGGGAUGUACGCACGGAGCUACGGCGACGUGUUCAGUCCACGCGUACUAAGCACGCGAGGAAUUCUUACA
RNAcentral lists this ribosomal RNA (2972 nucleotides) under Candidatus Iainarchaeum sp. Its description in RNAcentral is "23S ribosomal RNA". It matches the Rfam family "Archaeal large subunit ribosomal RNA". Lineage: Archaea; Nanobdellati; Candidatus Iainarchaeota; Candidatus Iainarchaeia; Candidatus Iainarchaeales; Candidatus Iainarchaeaceae. The record is from RNAcentral.